Molecule: long non-coding RNA, 399 nt
Filed under: Homo sapiens (human)
Lineage: Eukaryota; Metazoa; Chordata; Mammalia; Primates; Hominidae
Description: LNC_000875
Source: RNAcentral
AGGCUGUCCGCCGGGCCUGGGCUGCUCCAGCUACGCGGGGAGGCGGCCCCAUUGCAAAGUGCAGUUUCUCCGCGGAGGUGGCGGUGGGUCAGUGGCAGAGGGCCAUGGUUUCCAUGUUAAGGAAGCGGACGUGCAUCUUGGUCUCAAUGUCGAUCCCCUGCCAGAUCUUCAGGAAGUCCUCGAAGGUGAUCCCCUCGUACACCUGAUCAGGCUCCAUCUGCCCCAUGCACACGCUGGCCGCCUCCAUCAUGGCCCCGUCGGCGAUGGAGCGAGCGGACUCCUUCUCGAUGUGAGGGUUUCCCGACAGCAGCUCCUCGACCACCUGCCAGGUGGGGCGGAAACAAACGGUGACCUUGGGCCUCCAUCAGGGUCGUGGGGGGCAGAGGGGGAAGGCACCAG